CGACGCACAGAUACAAAGGCGCACACACACAGACACACACACUCUACAGUCUACUCCCAUCCCAUCAUCCCAUGUUAGUGAAAGCACUCAGCACAGCCUUGUUUCAGUUUCACACACAGCUUUGAACUCAACGAAGGACACAGGACACACUACUCUGUUUCCCGUUGUAUUCAUCACGCUACACCAGGAGAAUCGAGAUUAACGUUAGAAACCGCAAGCAAGAAUAUUUUGUUUUUCAAGUGUACCACAGUCCAUGAUACCAGUUUCGCCGCUGAAGCUGCCUUGCUCCUGCCGGUUAAAUACACAUCAACUCCAAUCGGAACGAUUCUGGUUGGUCCACGGCAGCCCCCCCCCCUCUCCCAGGGGCUUAUGAGUUGGUGAUAAUAAUCAGUAAAGUCCAAUUCUACCUAGUACCCAAUUGAUCCUCCUCAUUCUAGUAUAAGAUCCUGUUUCUUCAUUACCAGUUUCCUUCAUUUUGUUUGUAAUUAGUCCUUGUCAUUGGAUUGUCAUUCUACGCGUGUUGCUUGGAUUUUAUUGCAGCUUACCUGCUUGAAUUAAAGCACUGAAAUUCUGUUGCGUCUUUCUGUGAAAUUCGGCCCUUGGCUGAACCAGUCAUACAAGGUACAUGGCUAGGUAUUAUCAGCUGCUGAAACGGAAGGCCGCAGCAAACAGUUUACCGGUUCAUCACUUGAAGCACGGAUCGCGGCAUGCAAUGCACUUUUCUUUUUCUUUUCCUUUUUUUUUUUUGUUAUUCUUUUAGUGCAACUUAAUGGAGCUAUUAGCUCCAUUAUGGUUCUGUCUAACCAGCUGUCAAAUCUAUUAGGAAAUUGUGAUCUACAGAAUGAUAUGAUAUUACUAGUGUGUUCUGUGCUACCACUUCUGUGUUGCUGUCCAUAUCUGUAGUUGUACUUUUUAAGGUCAUCAUCUAUAGCAUAAAAACUUGCAGUUCCUGCAAAACUAUCAGUGAAGUGUUGCUACUGUCCUGAGAGCUGGUAAUUUGUGGAUUACUAUUGUAUGUCGACAGAAGGCCUACCUUCCUGGCUUCACCCCUUGAUUAUGGAAUCCGCUAUUGUGGUACAGUCAGAUUGUAACAUCAAUGAAGAGGAUCCAGAAACCCAACAUUUAUAGCUGUUAAUUGUAAUAUGAGCAAAUGUAGAACUGGGGAAGAGGUGGAGGUUUUGCCUAGCACUCACUCAUAGGCUAUACGAUCCACUCGCAGCAUUUUUACUUUGCAGAGGGUCGGAGAACAUGAAUAGAUUGGAUCCAGAAAACUCAACACUUGCAUUUGUGAUAUGAGGAAAUGUAGGACUAAGGCUGAAGUGGAGGUUCUGCUGAAUGCUUCCUUAGAAUUAUUCGCUCAUAGGCUACAAUAGCAUUUUUACUUUGCAGUGGAUCCUUUACUCAAGUGCUUUAAUCUUCUUGUAAGUGGAUUUUUGGCGGCGGUCAAAAUUCAUAUGCCACAGCAGUUAACUCAGACGCCUUCUGUCAGAAACUGCCGCUACAAGUAUAUUCUGUAACCAGUUUCUGCAACAGUUGAAGAUAUAUAGUGGCGGCCAGGAACGUGCCAGGGAAAAGUUUCCCACUUUGCAAAUUCCUAUUUGGUCGCACAAAAUUGGCUGGCAUGUGAGGUUGCUGCUGGAAUUAUUUAAAAGCACCUUUUUCUGUGUUUAGGAGAAUGAAAGACAUGCAGCAGAGGUCAGGGAUAGGUUGGCAGAAUCUUUAGCAGGAGUUACCAAUUCUCUAAGUUGCUUCAGUGUUGUGCAACAUGUGAAAUGGCCCAUUGGGUGACUAGUUGAUCAUAUCCGUCAUCUUCAUUUUGUGUCGUUCUGAAAGUAGUCCUUCUAAUGGUUUGUUAUGUGCACUUUAAGCGGCGGCCAGGCUAGCGCCACCACUAUUUGGAAAAUUCUUAAUUGAUUAACUGCUUUAAGUUAGUGAAAUGCUAGUUUAGAAUUAAGUGGUCAAUAGGUGCCCUGUUUAUUUUGGUUGCUCUUUUUUCCAGCAAAUUCUGCGCAUUAACUGAUUCAUAUCUGUUGCUCUUUAUUUCUGGUGAAUUUGGUCUUUGUAUGUUAAAUAAUUUAAGGUUGCUCCAAAAAGUAAGUAGUUUUGAUUUCAUGGCUUUAUGCUUUAGGUAAUUGAUCCAACAAGGCUCAGAUUUCUUUUUGAAAAGGAGCUUCAGAGAAGCGAUGUUGGCCCUCUUAGGCGGAUAGUUCUCCCAAAGAGAGCAGCCGAGGAAUAUCUUCCUGUACUUGAGUCCAAGGAAGGGAUGUUCAUUACCAUGGAUGAUAUGGAUGGUAAUCAUGUUUGGCGACUCAAGUUUAGGAUUCCCAUGAUCGACCAAGCUUUUUUGUUUGAUCAUCAUAUUCUCUUGUAGAAACCAUAUCAUAACUCAGGAUGACUGUAACUCAAAAUCUAGACACUCAGCUUGUUCCCUACCAUUGCUUUGGCUCUAGGUUCAGCGAAACUAAGGCCUUGAAAGGUUUAGGCCUGAUAAUAUUCUCUCAUUUGAAUUGAAUGUCUUUGUUGAAUGACUAUUAUGAGGUGAAGCAUUCUUACGUGGAACAUUGGUUGAUCUUUCUAGAGGUAAUAGAGCGGUCAUUGUUAAAAUGUUCUCCUUCAUAAUGCAGAUUCUGGCCUAACAACAACAGUCGAAUGUAUCUGUUUGAGAACACAGGGGUAUUUGUCAAGACUCAUGGCUUACGACAUGGAGACUACAUUGUUCUGUAUCAGGAUUUGGUGGGCCGCAACUAUGUCAUUCAGGCUAGGAAAGCAUCUGAUUCGGUUGUACAUGAUACUUCUGGACAUGGAGCUCAAGGCAUCCUAAGUGAUUAUGCAGCAAGUGAUGUUGUCCAGGGCCCUGAGUCGGAGAUAAAUGCAUCCGGAUAUAUCCCUGAGAUGUUCCCUCCUGUGAAUGAGAUGGGUGACAUGUCCUUCAUAUACGACACUAGCUUCUCAAAUGACUCCCCACUCGAUUAUCUGGGUGGACCGAUGACUGACUUCUCGAGGGUAGGAGGACAUGAAUCAAACUUUGGAUCGAUCGACAACUUGUCUCUUGACGAUUUCUUCUGACUUUAUCCUCUAAAAUGGUGCAAUAGGAAUAAGAUGUUGUAUGCUGGCACUGGUACUACUUGCUAAGCUACUCUUUCCAAUAAAACUCGGAAAAGAAGAUGGGGAAUGUAUGUUGUGAACUUAUAGCCCUGCGUAUAUAUAUGUUCGCAAAUGUAUGUUAUCAGGAAUAAAGUUGUGAAAUACUACUACUAUUACUCUAUUGCUGUGGACUAUAUUCUGAGUUCCCGGAACUGCAAAAUAGCCAUUUCAGCUUUUAUUA
Coffea arabica (coffee) is the source of this 3325-nucleotide non-coding RNA. The record is from RefSeq and is a predicted model, not a curated record. NCBI's taxonomy places the organism in Eukaryota, Viridiplantae, Streptophyta, Magnoliopsida, Gentianales, Rubiaceae.